CUCUAGAGCUUGCUGCAGCAGAAACCCUCAGGGAAGAUGGCCGAAUGAAAAUUCAGAUGCAUGGGGGAUCUUCAGACCUCCACAGGGCUGCAUGACCACACAGGGACAACCCAGGACCAGCAGGAGCUGUAGGGAGCACAGAGGCUGACUUAGCAGAAAGAAGAACUUUCAUACUGACUCCCCUGAUGGGAGAGGAUUGCCCCAUCACAGCAAGUGGGCACAGACCUGAUGACUGUCUGGCAGGAAUUUUACAGAGCAGAUUCAUGCCAGGACUGGACUGUUGACUCCAAAGUCCCUACCAGCCCUGGAACAUGAAGUGACACCAGCUAGAGAUGCCUGGGUUUACCUGAGAGCAAGGUGGUCAGUGCACUGUUUUGGUUCAGGACGUAGGUCCUCCGGGUUGACCUGCCCCCUCCCCAAGAGCUGGAGAGCCCUGAGAAGUACAGAAUGGAUUCUGUACUGUGGGAAUGUGCCAGGAAGCAAUCAGAGACUCCCAACAUGAAUUGUCAUUUGUGGAGGGAGUGGCUGUUACCUGACUCUGUCUUCAUGCACCAGUGUAGCACAAACAGCAGCUUUAUUGGUGAUGCUUGGGAAGCUGUGGCAGAGCCCAGCAUGCAGGCUGUGAGGGCUCAGACAGCUUCCAGCAGACAGGGGAUGAGGGGAUUAGCCUCAGUGGGCUCUGCUGCUUGGGGCACAUUGUCCCUUCUCAGUUCUUUGAGGCAAGUGUGCAGGAACAGGGUUCAGCACUUCACAAACUGGUGGGUGACCUCGUAGAUUCCCACAGAUUCCUGAGCUUUUUCGUCAUAGUCAGUCCAGUCCUGUGGGGGAAAAUGGCCGUUAUUAGCCUCACGAGAUGGGACAGUGUGCACAAUGGUCACGAACUGGGACUUCAAACAUGUAUGACCCAGAACAGAGCCAGACUCCGUUUUGGACAAGUCACUUAACUUCUCUGAGUCUCAGUUCUAUUAAAAAAAAGGGGGGGGGGGGAACAGUAGCAGACCUCCAUCUUGAAAGAAUCAAAUGAGGUAACACAUGUAAAAGUAUUCAGCAUAGUACUGGGCGCAUAUAAGAGCUCACUAAAUUUCAGUUACUGUUGUUAUUAGGUGCUAUGCAAACUGAAGUUUCUGUUCUUUUGAAGCCUGACCACAAGGCCUAUGUAAGACAGUAAUGUGGCCAGUAAUACAGUUGAUUCUUGUUAUUCAUGGUAGUUACAAUCUACAUAAUAACUACAAACACUGAAUUAGCAAACAGUGAACCACUAUUCCCAGGGAAAAUAUAAGGUUAGGUUCUCAGAAGCAUCUGAUCACAUUUUCUUCAAUCAAUAUAUAACCUUGUUUUGGGUAGGUUUUUGUUAAAAAAAAAAAAAAAAAA
Molecule: long non-coding RNA, 1371 nt
Organism: Lynx canadensis (Canada lynx)
Lineage: Eukaryota; Metazoa; Chordata; Mammalia; Carnivora; Felidae
Exons: 2
Source: RefSeq, a predicted model, not a curated record